AGCCCCCGAUGACCACCGCAUCCUCUUGCCGGAACAAUCAAAUACCCAGGGGGCCGCAAACACCACCACGGGUCCAGUAGACCUGGAGGACGGAGCGCCGCGGAACAAAGCCUUCGACGUUGAGAAUCGACCAGCUACGCGAAAGGGCAAGAAGAUGGAUGCUGUCGCAGAUAAAACCCCGCUACUGGAUCAGAAGGGCAAUCGGGAGGACGAGCUAGAAUACAUGUCAAAUUUUGCGUUCCUACUAUCCAUGCUGUCUUACGGAGUGCUGUAUUUACUUGGUUCAGCAAAACUCGGAAGGAAGGGGAGCAAUACACGCCUGGUAAUGUGUUUACAUGCUUGGACUGCAGUCAUGAUGUUGCUCUUGUUCGUCGGUUCCUACAUCCGGUGGCCUGCUGCUGUUCUGAAGAUCAUGCGCCUCGUUAUGGCGGGUGUAAUAUUCAUAUCUGCACUUGUUAUUUUCAUUUUGGCUCACUGUGCUCCGUAGUCGCCAGUUCGGAGGUGUGCAACUUCCGCUUGGUUUGUGCUCUCCGCAAGAAAACUACUGUGGUUUGGAAUUCCUAAUGUUCCGUAAACUCGUAAAAUAUUUAGAAAAUAUGAAAUAUGUACUGUAAACUCGUAUGAUAAAAUAUGAAGUGUUAGUAUCAAAUUUCUCUUUUAUUGACUGCAGGAUCUGCUUUACCUGUUUUGUUAUUCUACCCUGUAAAAGCCCGAUUCUCUGUGCUCCCUGCCUGUGCUCAUGAGCUGCUUGGCUCCAAAAAGUUACGUUUGCUCUGAGAUUAUGAUAAGUUUCACACCCAUUGUGAUCUACACUUUAAAAAGUCAUGGACAUAAAAAUCAGAUAUGAACACAACUAGUCCUGAAAGUUUUGACGUUAAAGAUGAAGCACAUGAUCGCAUUGAGCCGGGGACUGCUGUUCAUUGACCGGUGACAUCAAGUUGAGGGAUCUGCUGCGAGAUAUGAGGUGGAAGUCUAACCUCAACCAUGCCGGUAUGCAGCUCUUAUUUUGGAGAGGAUUGUUUUGAGUUUCGAUUGUUCAAAGGACAGGGAGGGACACAAUGAGGUUUAGUUUUUCAGAGAGCUUAGUCACCCACACUUCCAUCAUUAACAGCCAUUAUCGCGUAACGAACUUCAGGAGCUAACACCAUCAGGCUGUUUGCUGGCAUCGCCAUGUUUUCCUGCCAAGUAGUCCCCUAUGAGCUAUCCUCCCGAACUGAACCCGU
Asparagus officinalis (garden asparagus) is the source of this 1223-nucleotide long non-coding RNA. RefSeq lists it as uncharacterized. The record is from RefSeq and is a predicted model, not a curated record. NCBI's taxonomy places the organism in Eukaryota, Viridiplantae, Streptophyta, Magnoliopsida, Asparagales, Asparagaceae. The transcript is spliced from 3 exons.